CGAGCGGACAGAUGGGAGCUUGCUCCCUGAUGUUAGCGGCGGACGGGUGAGUAACACGUGGGUAACCUGCCUGUAAGACUGGGAUAACUCCGGGAAACCGGGGCUAAUACCGGAUGGUUGUUUGAACCGCAUGGUUCAAACAUAAAAGGUGGCUUCGGCUACCACUUACAGAUGGACCCGCGGCGCAUUAGCUAGUUGGUGAGGUAACGGCUCACCAAGGCGACGAUGCGUAGCCGACCUGAGAGGGUGAUCGGCCACACUGGGACUGAGACACGGCCCAGACUCCUGGGAGGCAGCAGUAGGGAAUCUUCCGCAAUGGACGAAAGUCUGACGGAGCAACGCCGCGUGAGUGAUGAAGGUUUUCGGAUCGUAAAGCUCUGUUGUUAGGGAAGAACAAGUACCGUUCGAAUAGGGCGGUACCUUGACGGUACCUAACCAGAAAGCCACGGCUAACUACGUGCCAGCAGCCGCGGUAAUACGUAGGUGGCAAGCGUUGUCCGGAAUUAUUGGGCGUAAAGGGCUCGCAGGCGGUUUCUUAAGUCUGAUGAGAAAGCCCCCGGCUCAACCGGGGAGGGUCAUUGGAAACUGGGGAACUUGAGUGCAGAAGAGGAGAGUGGUAAUUCCACGUGUAGCGGUGAAAUGCGUAGAGAUGUGGAGGAACACCAGUGGCGAAGGCGACUCUCUGGUCUGUAACUGACGCUGAGGAGCGAAAGCGUGGGGAGCGAACAGGAUUAGAUACCCUGGUAGUCCACGCCGUAAACGAUGAGUGCUAAGUGUUAGGGGGUUUCCGCCCCUUAGUGCUGCAGCUAACGCAUUAAGCACUCCGCCUGGGGAGUACGGUCGCAAGACUGAAACUCAAAGGAAUUGACGGGGGCCCGCACAAGCGGUGGAGCAUGUGGUUUAAUUAGAAGCAACGCGAAGAACCUUACCAGGUCUUGACAUCCUCUGACAAUCCUAGAGAUAGGACGUCCCCCUUCGGGGGCAGAGUGACAGGUGGUGCAUGGUUGUCGUCAGCUCGUGUCGUGAGAUGUUGGGUUAAGUCCCGCAACGAGCGCAACCCUUGAUCUUAGUUGCCAGCAUUCAGUUGGGCACUCUAAGGUGACUGCCGGUGACAAACCGGAGGAAGGUGGGGAUGACGUCAAAUCAUCAUGCCCCUUAUGACCUGGGCUACACACGUGCUACAAUGGACAGAACAAAGGGCAGCGAAACCGCGAGGUUAAGCCAAUCCCACAAAUCUGUUCUCAGUUCGGAUCGCAGUCUGCAACUCGACUGCGUGAAGCUGGAAUCGCUAGUAAUCGCGGAUCAGCAUGCCGCGGUGAAUACGUUCCCGGGCCUUGUACACACCGCCCGUCACACCACGAGAGUUUGUAACACCCGAAGUCGGUGAGGUAACCUUUAGGAGCCAGCCGCCG
RNAcentral lists this ribosomal RNA (1412 nucleotides) under Bacillus subtilis. Its description in RNAcentral is "bacterial SSU rRNA". It matches the Rfam family "Bacterial small subunit ribosomal RNA". The record is from RNAcentral. Lineage: Bacteria; Bacillati; Bacillota; Bacilli; Caryophanales; Bacillaceae.